GGGGUUUUGGCUCAGCAGUAGAGCACUCGCCUUGCACAUGGGAGGCCUUGAGUUCAAUCCUCAACACCA
Molecule: transfer RNA, 69 nt
Filed under: Ictidomys tridecemlineatus (thirteen-lined ground squirrel)
Lineage: Eukaryota; Metazoa; Chordata; Mammalia; Rodentia; Sciuridae
Description: Spermophilus tridecemlineatus (thirteen-lined ground squirrel) tRNA
Rfam family: tRNA
About the family: Transfer RNA (tRNA) molecules are approximately 80 nucleotides in length.
Source: Rfam by way of RNAcentral